AGGGAUGACGGCCUUCGGGUUGUAAACCUCUUUUAGCAGGGAAGAAGCGUGAGUGACGGUACCUGCAGAAAAAGCGCCGGCUAACUACGUGCCAGCAGCCGCGGUAAUACGUAGGGCGCAAGCGUUAUCCGGAAUUAUUGGGCGUAAAGAGCUCGUAGGCGGUUUGUCGCGUCUGCUGUGAAAUCUGGGGGCUCAACCCCCAGCCUGCAGUGGGUACGGGCAGACUAGAGUGCGGUAGGGGAGAUUGGAAUUCCUGGUGUAGCGGUGGAAUGCNCACAUAUUUCNGGAGGAACACCGAUGGCGAAGGCANANUNUCUGGGCCGUANCUGACCCUGAAGAGCGAAGGGGUGGGGAGCAAACAGNAUUAGAUNCCNUGGUAGUCCANGGGCGAAUUC
Molecule: ribosomal RNA, 395 nt
Filed under: uncultured bacterium
Lineage: Bacteria
Description: partial 16S ribosomal RNA
Rfam family: Bacterial small subunit ribosomal RNA
Source: RNAcentral